AACACAAUCUGGGGGCAUGGGAGCAAGAUUCAUGGGCUGUUGGAGUUCUCCUACCUGCUGACUGGAUGUUGAAAGGGAUCCUGGGACAGGUGUGUGAACUGGUGACCAUCUAAAUUCUGCCUCCCUGGCUUCCCUGGUGGAUUCUUAACCACUGGACCACCAGGGAAGUCCCCUGCUUGCUGUUUUUCAAAACAGUUGUUGGGUGAAAUCACCCAAGGAAGUGAUUUCCUUCCUGCUAAGAUAUGCACCAUGAAUAUUUUCUAAGUAUGUAUGUGAAUGUGUGUGAUACAUGUGCUAAUUUAAUUUCCUUAGUGAAAUUCUGCAGAACAUCUGGGUCAAAGUGCAUUUUGCAUUAUCAAAGAGGAUGAAGCAGAGGGGAAAAAUAUGCACGACAGAGUCUUGACUUUUAAAUGAUUAUUCGUACAGUAUCAGUACACCAAGUAGUGACAUGCAACAAGUUCUUGAAUUCUAUCAUCUAGUAAUUUUAAAUAAGAGAAACCAAAA
Long non-coding RNA from Orcinus orca (killer whale), 504 nucleotides. RefSeq lists it as uncharacterized. NCBI's taxonomy places the organism in Eukaryota, Metazoa, Chordata, Mammalia, Artiodactyla, Delphinidae. The transcript is spliced from 2 exons. The record is from RefSeq and is a predicted model, not a curated record.